Long non-coding RNA from Mustela erminea (ermine), 1143 nucleotides. RefSeq lists it as uncharacterized. The record is from RefSeq and is a predicted model, not a curated record. The transcript is spliced from 2 exons. Lineage: Eukaryota; Metazoa; Chordata; Mammalia; Carnivora; Mustelidae.
GGGAGAGUGGAGGGGGCGGGGAGAUGACGGCAGCCUCUAGUGUCCCCGUCAGCCCUGGUGGCGGCUGUGUUCCUCCUCUGAAAGCCACAGCCCCUCUCUGGGGCCCCAACAGCUGCAGCUCUCUUCCAGGUCUGCUAACCGCCCCUCACCUUGCCCCCGGAGGCCGGGCUGGGAGAGCUCAGAGACGCUUCCCCCGCCCCAGCCCGGGAUGGUUCCCCACGCCUCCGCCUCCCUUCCCUUCCGGGGUGCCGGGAGCAGCUCCGCAAGAAGGAGCUGCGGCCCCAGGGGGGUGUCGAGCGUCCAGACCGAUCCCAGGCCGCCUCCCCAGGGACCGCCCGUCCGGUGAUCAGGAACAGGCGGUAGCAAUUCCACCUCUGGCGUGCGGUUUGCUCGCACCGUGGCCUGGACUCAGUCCCCACAGAGCCGCCCGCACGUGAGUAAAAUGGAAUUCCCGUCCUCAAAGACACUCCGACCGGGGCGCGGGGACAGGGAGAUACUGACAAGAAAUGUGCCCCCCGAGUCAACGAGGGAGCCCAGGAGAGAAGUGCCGUGGCAGAGACAGCGGCUCGGGGGGUUUUUGCAAAAAACGCUUCAAACAGCGGGAACGGAGAAUGGGAGGAGGGAACCGGACUCCUAGAGCGGGGAGUGGUCCGCGACCUCGCCUCGGGGUUCCUGGAUCACCUCCUGAUGCGUGAGGAAAGCUGGGUACCAAGGAGAAGUUUAGGCCUCCAGCUCCCAGGAUGAGGGGCUGAGUCAGAACCGGGCCUCUCUGACUCAGAGGUGGAACUGACCCGACACCACCCUGCCUUUCCGCAUUAAUGUGCACACACACACACACACACACACACACACACACACACACGCAGUCCUUCGUUGCGGACGCACAGAACGUUCCAGUAAGAACAGUAACACGGUAAAGGUGACUCUUGGACGUAACCAGGGGCUCAGGGAGCAGAUACUUCUGGCUCUUCCUGUGUCUUGCCCUGUGAAAGGAGCAAACUGAGCUGUGUUCCAAACUGAACCUUUUAUCCCAUUUCCUCUGCAAGGAUCUCGUGUCUGAAACCCAUUAAUAAAAAGAUUAGGAGCAAUGCUAUGGAAACUGGCAUAUUUUAAAUAAAGUAGCAUGCUAUGUAAGCCAUCAUA